AAGUUGUUAUUGAUAUAUAUUUUUUUAUGUUUCCUGAAAAAUUAUAUAAUCUCUUAUCAAUCAUAAUAGAUUAAUCCUUUCUAAAAAAUAUUUAUAUAUAGAAAAAAGUUUGUUAUUUUUCUUGAAAUAUA
This 131-nucleotide small RNA is filed under the name Fusobacterium sp. CM21. Lineage: Bacteria; Fusobacteriati; Fusobacteriota; Fusobacteriia; Fusobacteriales; Fusobacteriaceae. The record is from RNAcentral.